RNAcentral lists this small nucleolar RNA (124 nucleotides) under Myotis brandtii (Brandt's bat). Its description in RNAcentral is "Small nucleolar RNA SNORD22". It matches the Rfam family "Small nucleolar RNA SNORD22". Rfam says of the family: U22 is a member of the C/D class of snoRNA which contain the C (UGAUGA) and D (CUGA) box motifs. U22 is encoded within the U22 snoRNA host gene (UHG) in mammals and has also been identified in Xenopus. U22 is thought to as a 2'-O-ribose methylation guide for ribosomal RNA. Lineage: Eukaryota; Metazoa; Chordata; Mammalia; Chiroptera; Vespertilionidae. The record is from Rfam by way of RNAcentral.
UCCCAGUAGGGGAAAAAGUCAUGCAUCUUAUCUCUUAUCUUAUUCCCAGGGCCUGUGAAGGUGAACCCACUGGGGCUGGCUGGGGAAGGAGGAGGGAAGUUCCAGAAGGAACUGCCUGAGAGAU